RNAcentral lists this transfer RNA (75 nucleotides) under Beta vulgaris subsp. vulgaris (sugar beet). It matches the Rfam family "tRNA". Rfam says of the family: Transfer RNA (tRNA) molecules are approximately 80 nucleotides in length. Their secondary structure includes four short double-helical elements and three loops (D, anti-codon, and T loops). Further hydrogen bonds mediate the characteristic L-shaped molecular structure. tRNAs have two regions of fundamental functional importance: the anti-codon, which is responsible for specific mRNA codon recognition, and the 3' end, to which the tRNAs corresponding amino acid is attached (by aminoacyl-tRNA synthetases). tRNAs cope with the degeneracy of the genetic code in two manners: having more than one tRNA (with a specific anti-codon) for a particular amino acid; and 'wobble' base-pairing, i.e. permitting non-standard base-pairing at the 3rd anti-codon position. The record is from Rfam by way of RNAcentral. Lineage: Eukaryota; Viridiplantae; Streptophyta; Magnoliopsida; Caryophyllales; Amaranthaceae.
GCACCCUUAGUUCAGUUCGAUACAACGUGGGUCUCCAAAAACCCGAUGUCGUAGGUUCCAAUCCUAUAGAGCGCG